UUUAGCGUAUAGGAAGUAGUUUCUUGUAAGUGUGUUUUGUUGUCUAGAAUAUUGUGUAUGUGUGUGUUUACGUCAUCCUUAGUUCCCGCAAGAGAGAGAGAGAGAGAGCUUCUUUUGUGAGCUGGGUUGUUUGUUUUCCCCUUGUAAGGGGUGUUAGGCUUGGGCUAUGGGAAAGAUUGUCACCUUUCCGCCCUUGGAGCCGAUCUUAGAUAUCGUUGAUGAGAUGGAGGAAGUUGUUGGUCUGUAGAGCGUUGCGAACCCUGUUAGACUGGAGCACCGUAUUUUAAGGUUACUGGUGAAUGAGGUCCAUUGAAAAAGACAGUCGACAGAUCAUGUGAGGUGCACCAACGGUCCAACACGUGUAGUAUGCAGAUAUCUUCUUUUUAUGCAGUAACGUCUGUAUUUCAUAAGAUAAGAUACUGUUAUAAACCUGGUGGUGACACAAAUGGUCGUAGGCUGUGUGUGUUUUUAGCCUACGCAAAUCGCCCCAGUCCAGCGCUAGACGAGCGGUCAACCGUGACCAGUGACAGUACACGCCGGUUCGGCAAGAACCUGUGUGUAAAUAUUUCACACGCAAGUCACGGCGAAAGUGAUCAACUGGAGUGGUCAAGCGACGGUUCUAGAAGGCCAGUAGAGACACUAUAUAAGAGCGAGUGUGUCAAGACACUUCGUUACCUCGCAAUGUGACCAGUACGAGGCGAGAACCAGCACGGUGUGUGAAGUCAGUGCGGAGCAGAGACUAGGUUUUUGUAAAGACAGUGUUAAUGUUGUUGCCAAUUGCGAUGUAUUUGAAAUUCAACUGACUGAUACUUUGGAGCCCUGAGUUGUGAGGUUCUUUAAGUUCCUUGGGUUGUGUGGUGCAGUUUGAAGAGAGCCUGGAUAGUAGGGGAUACGUUACAAUAAGAUAAGAUUCUUCUUCUUGAAACUGUCAGGUAUAGUUGAGCCUUCAGCUCUUGGAACUCUAAGCCAGCAAAAGUGAACAAGAGCUCCCUCUCACUGGCCUGAAAGUGGGUGGGUCAGACUCGCGCACUAAGACCCCUGCCAUUUUCCUUUUCUAUACUAAGCUAACCGUGCGGGACACGCCAUUUAUGAACGGCCCCUUGAGGAAUAGCGCCUGGAUUGUGACAAGGUUGUGGGAGCUUUUUUACAACUCCGCACAGUGCAAUGAGGAUGCUCUCGCACCCCCUUUGGCACCCCCACUGGAGUCUUGUUUUGCUACCCUUUAGCCUAAUCGUUUCCUCCUACGAUUGUUUCCACCAGGGCGCCACUAUGAGGCAAGGUAGCAUGCCCGGGAUAA
Long non-coding RNA from Biomphalaria glabrata, 1297 nucleotides. RefSeq lists it as uncharacterized. The transcript has 3 exons. Lineage: Eukaryota; Metazoa; Mollusca; Gastropoda; Planorbidae. The record is from RefSeq and is a predicted model, not a curated record.